Long non-coding RNA from Sarcophilus harrisii (Tasmanian devil), 552 nucleotides. RefSeq lists it as uncharacterized. NCBI's taxonomy places the organism in Eukaryota, Metazoa, Chordata, Mammalia, Dasyuromorphia, Dasyuridae. The record is from RefSeq and is a predicted model, not a curated record. The transcript is spliced from 4 exons.
CCAUCUGGGUCCAUUGGCAAGAUAUAAAUAAGGUUGACUGGAGAUGACCCUGGGUGAAAUGAGAGUUGCUGGCCUUUUUUAUGCUAAGGUCUUAAGUGGGUAAAGUGUAACUCCUCUGGAAUACAUUUGCUGCUGAACACAAUUCAGUAUGAAGUAGUUUCAGCUUGUACACUGAAACAUAGGUGAGGGGGGAUGAUUUACUGAGAUCACAAUAAGCUCAUUAUGUGAUAGUCUCACCAGGUCCCCAUGGAAUCAGAGUAUGGAUAAUAUUACAAUGAGGCUUUAGUACACAGCCUUGCUGAUAACUACCUCCUUUGUUAAUUAGAUAAUGCACAAGAGGCUGCAUAAUGUCACCUGCUUCCAUAUCUUUGCACUUUGGACACUAAGCGAGUCAUCAAAGUCAGUGCCAAAACAAAAGUCAAGAUGUCUGGAGAUAGCCCAGGAUGCAAGAUAUGGAUUAUACCCUGACAUAACACUGAGAAGAGAUACUGCAUCUUUGUGGCUUCUGCAUCUUGUCUAGACCAGUUCAAGGAUUAAAAAGUCUGAAUUCCA